GAAUGACAGCUCUCAAACUGGAUUUCAAGACAAAUUUGAUGGGUCUAUAGAUUUGCAAGCCAACUGGUAUCGAAUCCAAGGAGGUCAAGUUCAUAUUGACUGUCUCUCUAUGGAUACUGCUCUGAUAUUCACUGAAAACAUAGGAAAACCUCGUUAUGCUGAGACCUGGGAUUUUCAUGUGUCAGCAUCUACCUUCUUGCAGUUUGAAAUGAGCAUGGGCUGCAGCAAGCCCUUCAGUGCCUCCCACAGUGUACAGCUCCAGUAUUCUCUGAACAAUGGCAGGGACUGGCAUCUUGUCACUGAAGAGUGUGUUCCUCCAACCAUUGGCUGUCUGCACUACACAGAAAGUUCAAUUUACACCUUGGAAAGAUUCCAGAAUUGGAAGCGCAUCACUGUCUACCUUCCACUCUCCACCAAGUGAGAAUUGUCAGAACUUUAGGUUUCUGUCACCUAAUUUGAAAAU
RNAcentral lists this long non-coding RNA (463 nucleotides) under Ictidomys tridecemlineatus (thirteen-lined ground squirrel). Its description in RNAcentral is "lncRNA (ENSSTOG00000033196.1)". The record is from RNAcentral. Lineage: Eukaryota; Metazoa; Chordata; Mammalia; Rodentia; Sciuridae.